UUAAACAGCCUCCUUUGCUUUAACAUGGAGGUACCUGCUGCCUAAAAAAAGUAAGUGCUUCCAUGUUUCAGUGGUGGUGGUAGUUCCU
RNAcentral lists this microRNA precursor (88 nucleotides) under Alligator mississippiensis (American alligator). RNAcentral's name for it is "microRNA ami-mir-302c precursor". Its record names the gene ami-mir-302c. The stretch from base 12 to 77 matches the Rfam family "mir-302 microRNA precursor family". Lineage: Eukaryota; Metazoa; Chordata; Crocodylia; Alligatoridae. The record is from miRBase by way of RNAcentral.